RNAcentral lists this ribosomal RNA (409 nucleotides) under Bacillota bacterium. RNAcentral's name for it is "Firmicutes bacterium partial 16S ribosomal RNA". It matches the Rfam family "Bacterial small subunit ribosomal RNA", at positions 355 to 776 of the family's 1533-position model. The record is from RNAcentral. Lineage: Bacteria; Bacillati; Bacillota.
UGGGGAAUAUUGGACAAUGGGCGGAAGCCUGAUCCAGCAACGCCGCGUGAGGGAUGACGGCCUUCGGGUUGUAAACCUCUUUCAGCACCGACGAAGCGAGAGUGACGGUAGGUGCAGAAGAAGGACCGGCCAACUACGUGCCAGCAGCCGCGGUAAUACGUAGGGUCCGAGCGUUGUCCGGAAUUAUUGGGCGUAAAGGGCUCGUAGGCGGUUUGUCGCGUCGGGAGUGAAAACACCGGGCUUAACUCGGUGCUUGCUUUCGAUACGGGCAGACUGGAGGUAUGCAGGGGAGAACGGAAUUCCUGGUGUAGCGGUGAAAUGCGCAGAUAUCAGGAGGAACACCGGUGGCGAAGGCGGUUCUCUGGGCAUUACCUGACGCUGAGGAGCGAAAGUGUGGGGAGCGAACAGG